UGAGUAACACGUGGGGAACCUGCCCCAUAGUCUGGGAUACCACUUGGAAACAGGUGCUAAUACCGGAUAAGAAAGCAGAUCGCAUGAUCAGCUUUUAAAAGGCGGCGUAAGCUGUCGCUAUGGGAUGGCCCCGCGGUGCAUUAGCUAGUUGGUAAGGUAAAGGCUUACCAAGGCGAUGAUGCAUAGCCGAGUUGAGAGACUGAUCGGCCACAUUGGGACUGAGACACGGCCCAAACUCCUACGGGAGGCAGCAGUAGGGAAUCUUCCACAAUGGACGCAAGUCUGAUGGAGCAACGCCGCGUGAGUGAAGAAGGUUUUCGGAUCGUAAAGCUCUGUUGUUGGUGAAGAAGGAUAGAGGUAGUAACUGGCCUUUAUUUGACGGUAAUCAACCAGAAAGUCACGGCUAACUACGUGCCAGCAGCCGCGGUAAUACGUAGGUGGCAAGCGUUGUCCGGAUUUAUUGGGCGUAAAGCGAGCGCAGGCGGAAGAAUAAGUCUGAUGUGAAAGCCCUCGGCUUAACCGAGGAACUGCAUCGGAAACUGUUUUUCUUGAGUGCAGAAGAGGAGAGUGGAACUCCAUGUGUAGCGGUGGAAUGCGUAGAUAUAUGGAAAAAACACCAGUGGCGAAGGCGGCUCUCUGGUCUGCAACUGACGCUGAGGCUCGAAAGCAUGGGUAGCGAACAGGAUUAGAAUACCCUGGUAGUCCCUGCC
RNAcentral lists this ribosomal RNA (710 nucleotides) under uncultured bacterium. Its description in RNAcentral is "bacterial SSU rRNA". It matches the Rfam family "Bacterial small subunit ribosomal RNA", at positions 107 to 801 of the family's 1533-position model. The record is from RNAcentral.